AAUAGCGAGAAAAUUGCUAGGGAAAUAUUGCGAGGGAAUAGCGAGACAAUUGCUAGGGAAAUAUUGCGAGGGAAUAGAGAAGGGUCUGCGAGGGAUAUUCAGGGAGGGAAUUGCAAGGCCUUAGCUAAGAAAUGUAGCAAGGGAAUAGAGAGGGGUUUGUGAGGGAACAUUAGCGAGGGAUUAGCUACAAAUUAGAGAGGGAUAUUUUGCGACCCCUUAGCGAGGGAAUAACGGGGAAGCUUGAUCGCAAAUUAGCGAGCAAAUAGUAAGCGUCCUUAAUAUAAUUAGUGAGGACCUUAGCGAGGGAUUAGCGACAAAUUUUGCAAGGGAUUGGCGACGGAUUAAAUCCCUCGCUAAUUAGCUACCUGUAUUUAGCGAGGGAAUGGUCUCUCGCAAUUUCAUCACUAUUCCGUCGCAAAACUGAUUAGCGAGAGAUUAGAGAGGAAAUAGCGAGGGAAUAGUCCCUCGCUAAUAUGUAAUUUUCUUGUAGUGUAACAAAGUUCACAAAAAAAUGAUGGUGAAUUUGUCUCAACUAGGGCAAAGAAAUUUAUUGAAACAUAUGAAGAAUCAAUGACACAAAAAUAUGGAGAAGACACUUCAUCUCAUCCUGUAAUUGAUUCUGAUCUUUGGUUAAAAGUUGCAGGUGAAAACAAGAAGAAAAGAGUGCAUGGCAUGGGACAUAGCUUGGAUCUUGGAACUAGUAGCUCUACCCAAGCUUCAUCUCCAGAGGUUGCAGGUUCCUCUACAAAUCUUACGCCUAUGACAGAAGAACGGGUCACUGCAGUUAUAAAUAAUGCACUGGCCUCUUUUUUGCAAACACAAAUACUAGAGAUGAUGAGGCAAAUAAUUCAAGCAGUUCAACCACCAACAACACCAUCAACCAACUAACAUAGGGAAGAUCAAGGACGAGAUGAUGAUUUUACUAGCUUAGGUUGAUUACUAUUUAGGAUGACUCAUUAUUUGGCUUUUCUUUUUGUAAGACAUUAAUUAGUUUAGGUUUCUUUAAGAUAGUAUGCACAAGUUGGAUUUUGUAAGACAUUUAACAAUUUGGUUUUGUAAGAGAUAUUGUUACAUG
Non-coding RNA from Cajanus cajan (pigeon pea), 1075 nucleotides. The record is from RefSeq and is a predicted model, not a curated record. Lineage: Eukaryota; Viridiplantae; Streptophyta; Magnoliopsida; Fabales; Fabaceae.